RNAcentral lists this long non-coding RNA (223 nucleotides) under Lathyrus oleraceus (garden pea). Its description in RNAcentral is "Pisum sativum (pea) long non-coding RNA (PSAT_LNC001236)". Lineage: Eukaryota; Viridiplantae; Streptophyta; Magnoliopsida; Fabales; Fabaceae. The record is from RNAcentral.
AUUGGGCUUUAGGUCCAUAUUGAAUUUUGCAUACCCUCAAUUUCAUGUAUGCACCCUUGCUGUUUUCUUUUUAUUUAUUUAUUUAUUAUUUCAUUUAUUUAUUUAUUUGAUUAAUUUAAAUUGAUAGUUAAUUAAUUGAUGAUUUUGAUUAAUUAGUUGAUAGUUAGUUAAUUAAUUAUGUGUAAGUAGAUUAUUUAAUUAGUUGAUUUUUUGUGUUUAGUCG